RNAcentral lists this ribosomal RNA (460 nucleotides) under uncultured bacterium. RNAcentral describes it as "partial 16S ribosomal RNA". It matches the Rfam family "Bacterial small subunit ribosomal RNA", at positions 338 to 795 of the family's 1533-position model. The record is from RNAcentral.
CCUACGGGUGGCAGCAGUGAGGAAUAUUGGUCAAUGGACGAGAGUCUGAACCAGCCAAGUAGCGUGAAGGAUGACUGCCCUAUGGGUUGUACACUUCUUUUAUAUGGGAAUAAAACAGGGUAUGCAUACCCUCUUGUAUGUACCAUAUGAAUAAGGAUCGGCUAAAUCCGUGCCAGCAGCCGCGGUAAUACGGAGGAUCCGAGCGUUAUCCGGAUUUAUUGGGUUUAAAGUGAGCGUAGGUGGAUUGUUAAGUCAGUUGUGAAAGUUGGCGGCUCAACCGUAAAAUUGCAGUUGAAACUGGCAGGCUUGAGUACAGUAGAGGUGGGCGGAAUUCGUGGUGUAGCGGUGAAAUGCUUAGAGAUCACGAAGAACUCCGAUUGCGAAGGCAGCUUACUGGACUGCAACUGACACUGAUGCUCGAAAGUGUGGGUAUCAAACAGGAUUAGAUACCCGGGUAGUC